UUAAUUUGAGAGUUUGAUCCUGGCUCAGGACGAACGCUGGCGGCGUGCCUAAUACAUGCAAGUCGAACGAACUCUGGUAUUGAUUGGUGCUUGCAUCAUGAUUUAUAUUUGAGUGAGUGGCGAACUGGUGAGUAACACGUGGGAAACCUGCCCAGAAGCGGGGGAUAACACCUGGAAACAGAUGCUAAUACCGCAUAACAACUUGGACCGCAUGGUCCGAGCUUGAAAGAUGGCUUCGGCUAUCACUUUUGGAUGGUCCCGCGGCGUAUUAGCUAGAUGGUGGGGUAACGGCUCACCAUGGCAAUGAUACGUAGCCGACCUGAGAGGGUAAUCGGCCACAUUGGGACUGAGACACGGCCCAAACUCCUACGGGAGGCAGCAGUAGGGAAUCUUCCACAAUGGACGAAAGUCUGAUGGAGCAACGCCGCGUGAGUGAAGAAGGGUUUCGGCUCGUAAAACUCUGUUGUUAAAGAAGAACAUAUCUGAGAGUAACUGUUCAGGUAUUGACGGUAUUUAACCAGAAAGCCACGGCUAACUACGUGCCAGCAGCCGCGGUAAUACGUAGGUGGCAAGCGUUGUCCGGAUUUAUUGGGCGUAAAGCGAGCGCAGGCGGUUUUUUAAGUCUGAUGUGAAAGCCUUCGGCUCAACCGAAGAAGUGCAUCGGAAACUGGGAAACUUGAGUGCAGAAGAGGACAGUGGAACUCCAUGUGUAGCGGUGAAAUGCGUAGAUAUAUGGAAGAACACCAGUGGCGAAGGCGGCUGUCUGGUCUGUAACUGACGCUGAGGCUCGAAAGUAUGGGUAGCAAACAGGAUUAGAUACCCUGGUAGUCCAUACCGUAAACGAUGAAUGCUAAGUGUUGGAGGGUUUCCGCCCUUCAGUGCUGCAGCUAACGCAUUAAGCAUUCCGCCUGGGGAGUACGGCCGCAAGGCUGAAACUCAAAGGAAUUGACGGGGGCCCGCACAAGCGGUGGAGCAUGUGGUUUAAUUCGAAGCUACGCGAAGAACCUUACCAGGUCUUGACAUACUAUGCAAAUCUAAGAGAUUAGACGUUCCCUUCGGGGACAUGGAUACAGGUGGUGCAUGGUUGUCGUCAGCUCGUGUCGUGAGAUGUUGGGUUAAGUCCCGCAACGAGCGCAACCCUUAUUAUCAGUUGCCAGCAUUAAGUUGGGCACUCUGGUGAGACUGCCGGUGACAAACCGGAGGAAGGUGGGGAUGACGUCAAAUCAUCAUGCCCCUUAUGACCUGGGCUACACACGUGCUACAAUGGAUGGUACAACGAGUUGCGAACUCGCGAGAGUAAGCUAAUCUCUUAAAGCCAUUCUCAGUUCGGAUUGUAGGCUGCAACUCGCCUACAUGAAGUCGGAAUCGCUAGUAAUCGCGGAUCAGCAUGCCGCGGUGAAUACGUUCCCGGGCCUUGUACACACCGCCCGUCACACCAUGAGAGUUUGUAACACCCAAAGUCGGUGGGGUAACCUUUUAGGAACCAGCCGCCUAAGGUGGGACAGAUGAUUAGGGUGAAGUCGUAACAAGGUAGCCGUAGGAGAACCUGCGGCUGGAUCACCUCCUUUCUAAGGAA
RNAcentral lists this ribosomal RNA (1576 nucleotides) under Lactiplantibacillus plantarum. RNAcentral describes it as "Lactobacillus plantarum 16S ribosomal RNA". It matches the Rfam family "Bacterial small subunit ribosomal RNA". The record is from RNAcentral. Lineage: Bacteria; Bacillati; Bacillota; Bacilli; Lactobacillales; Lactobacillaceae.